RNAcentral lists this ribosomal RNA (407 nucleotides) under uncultured bacterium. RNAcentral describes it as "bacterial SSU rRNA". It matches the Rfam family "Bacterial small subunit ribosomal RNA", at positions 28 to 418 of the family's 1533-position model. The record is from RNAcentral.
GACGAACGCUGGCGGCGUGCCUAACACAUGCAAGUCGAACGGAGCUGUACGAGGUGCUUGCACCAUGUACAGCUUAGUGGCGGACGGGUGAGUAACGCGUGAGCAACCUGCCUUUCAGGAGGGGGAUAACAACGGGAAACCGUUGCUAAUACCGCAUAAUACCAGAGGGUGGCAUCAUUUUUCUGGUCAAAGGAGCAAUCCGCUGAAAGAUGGGCUCGCGUCCCAUUAGGUAGUUGGUGGGGUAAUGGCCUACCAAGCCCGCGAUGGGUAGCCGGACUGAGAGGUUGAACGGCCACAUUGGAACUGAGAUACGGGUCCAAACUCCUACGGGAGGCAGCAGGUGGGGAAUAUUGGGCAAGUGGGGGAAACCCUGGACCCAGCAACGCCGCGUGAAGGAAGAAGGUCUU